Molecule: transfer RNA, 87 nt
Filed under: Ignavibacteria bacterium
Lineage: Bacteria; Pseudomonadati; Ignavibacteriota; Ignavibacteria
Description: tRNA-Ser
Rfam family: tRNA
About the family: Transfer RNA (tRNA) molecules are approximately 80 nucleotides in length.
Source: RNAcentral
GGAGAGGUGGCUGAGUGGUUGAAAGCGGCGGUCUCGAAAACCGUUAUACGGGCAACCGUAUCGAGAGUUCGAAUCUCUCCUUCUCCG